AUAAUGAACGCUGGCGGCAUGGAUUAGGCAUGCAAGUCGAACGGGGCGCCCUCGGGCGCCUAGUGGCGAAAGGGUGAGUAGCACGUGAGCAACCUGCCCCCGAGUCCGGAAUAAGCGGUGGAAACGCCGUCCAAUGCCGGAUGCGGAGCCGGGCCUCCUGGCCCCUGCUCCAAAGAUUCAUCGCUCGGGGAUGGGCUCGCGCCCCAUUAGCUUGUUGGCGGGGUAACGGCCCACCAAGGCUCCGACGGGUAGGUGGACUGAGAGGUUGGUCACCCACACUGGGACUGAGACACGGCCCAGACUCCUACGGGAGGCUGCAGUCGAGAAUCUUCCGCAAUGGGCGAAAGCCUGACGGAGCGAUGCCGCGUGAGGGAAGAAGGCCUUCGGGUUGUAAACCUCUGUCACCCGGGACGAAUCAAUGACGGUACCGGGAGAGGAAGUCACGGCUAACUACGUGCCAGCAGCCGCGGUAACACGUAGGUGGCGAGCGUUAUUCGGAUUCACUGGGCGUAAAGGGUCCGCAGGGGGCCUGCCAAGCCUGUCGUGAAAACCCGGGGCUCAACCCCGGGCCUGCGGUGGGUACUGGCGGGCUGGAGUGCGCGAUGGGCGGACGGAACACCUGGUGUAGCGGUGGAAUGCGUGGAUAUCAGGUGGAACACCGAUGGCGAAGGCGGUCCGCUGGCGCGUCACUGACCCUCAUGGACGAAAGCGUGGGUAGCGAACAGG
This 726-nucleotide ribosomal RNA is filed under the name uncultured Oligosphaera sp. Its description in RNAcentral is "bacterial SSU rRNA". It matches the Rfam family "Bacterial small subunit ribosomal RNA", at positions 26 to 776 of the family's 1533-position model. The record is from RNAcentral. Lineage: Bacteria; Pseudomonadati; Lentisphaerota; Oligosphaeria; Oligosphaerales; Oligosphaeraceae.